This 359-nucleotide ribosomal RNA is filed under the name uncultured soil bacterium. RNAcentral's name for it is "bacterial SSU rRNA". It matches the Rfam family "Bacterial small subunit ribosomal RNA", at positions 27 to 381 of the family's 1533-position model. The record is from RNAcentral.
GGAUUGAACGCUGGCGGCAUGCCUUACACAUGCAAGUCGAACGGCAGCACGGGAGCAAUCCUGGUGGCGAGUGGCGAACGGGUGAGUAAUAUAUCGGAACGUGCCCAGUCGUGGGGGAUAUCGCAGCGAAAGCUGUGCUAAUACCGCAUACGAUCUAUGGAUGAAAGCGGGGGAUCGCAAGACCUCGCGCGAUUGGAGCGGCCGAUAUCAGAUUAGCUAGUUGGUAGGGGUAAAAGCCUACCAAGGCGACGAUCUGUAGCUGGUCUGAGACGGACGACCAGCCACACUGGAACUGAGACACCGGUCCAGACGUCCUACGGGAGGCAGGCAGGUGGGGUAAUUUUAGGGACAAGUGGGCG